UGCGUUGUUGGGUAGGGGAGCGUUCUGUAAGCCUGCGAAGGUGGCCUGUGAGGGUUGCUGGAGGUAUCAGAAGUGCGAAUGCUGACAUAAGUAACGAUAAAGCGGGUGAAAAGCCCGCUCGCCGGAAGACCAAGGGUUCCUGUCCAACGUUAAUCGGGGCAGGGUGAGUCGACCCCUAAGGCGAGGCCGAAAGGCGUAGUCGAUGGGAAACGGGUUAAUAUUCCCGUACUUGGUGUUACUGCGAAGGGGGGACGGAGAAGGCUAUGUUGGCCGGGCGACGGUUGUCCCGGUUUAAGCGUGUAGGUGUGUGUUCCAGGUAAAUCCGGUUCACUUUAACACUGAGGCGUGACGACGAGGCACUACGGUGCUGAAGCAACAAAUGCCCUGCUUCCAGGAAAAGCCUCUAAGCAUCAGGUAACAUCAAAUCGUACCCCAAACCGACACAGGUGGUCAGGUAGAGAAUACCAAGGCGCUUGAGAGAACUCGGGUGAAGGAACUAGGCAAAAUGGUGCCGUAACUUCGGGAGAAGGCACGCUGACACGUAGGUGAAGUGAUUUACUCAUGGAGCUGAAGUCAGUCGAAGAUACCAGCUGGCUGCAACUGUUUAUUAAAAACACAGCACUGUGCAAACACGAAAGUGGACGUAUACGGUGUGACGCCUGCCCGGUGCCGGAAGGUUAAUUGAUGGGGUCAGCGCAAGCGAAGCUCCUGAUCGAAGCCCCGGUAAACGGCGGCCGUAACUAUAACGGUCCUAAGGUAGCGAAAUUCCUUGUCGGGUAAGUUCCGACCUGCACGAAUGGCGUAAUGAUGGCCAGGCUGUCUCCACCCGAGACUCAGUGAAAUUGAACUCGCUGUGAAGAUGCAGUGUACCCGCGGCAAGACGGAAAGACCCCGUGAACCUUUACUAUAGCUUGACACUGAACAUUGAGCCUUGAUGUGUAGGAUAGGUGGGAGGCUUUGAAGUGUGGACGCCAGUCUGCAUGGAGCCGACCUUGAAAUACCACCCUUUAAUGUUUGAUGUUCUAACGUGGACCCGUGAUCCGGGUUGCGGACAGUGUCUGGUGGGUAGUUUGACUGGGGCGGUCUCCUCCUAAAGAGUAACGGAGGAGCACGAAGGUUGGCUAAUCCUGGUCGGACAUCAGGAGGUUAGUGCAAUGGCAUAAGCCAGCUUGACUGCGAGCGUGACGGCGCGAGCAGGUGCGAAAGCAGGUCAUAGUGAUCCGGUGGUUCUGAAUGGAAGGGCCAUCGCUCAACGGAUAAAAGGUACUCCGGGGAUAACAGGCUGAUACCGCCCAAGAGUUCAUAUCGACGGCGGUGUUUGGCACCUCGAUGUCGGCUCAUCACAUCCUGGGGCUGAAGUAGGUCCCAAGGGUAUGGCUGUUCGCCAUUUAAAGUGGUACGCGAGCUGGGUUUAGAACGUCGUGAGACAGUUCGGUCCCUAUCUGCCGUGGGCGCUGGAGAACUGAGGGGGGCUGCUCCUAGUACGAGAGGACCGGAGUGGACGCAUCACUGGUGUUCGGGUUGUCAUGCCAAUGGCACUGCCCGGUAGCUAAAUGCGGAAGAGAUAAGUGCUGAAAGCAUCUAAGCACGAAACUUGCCCCGAGAUGAGUUCUCCCUGAGACUUAGAGUCUCCUGAAGGAACGUUGAAGACGACGACGUUGAUAGGCCGGGUGUGUAAGCGCAGCGAUGCGUUGAGCUAACCGGUACUAAUGAACCGUGAGGCUUAACCUUACAACGCCGAAG
RNAcentral lists this ribosomal RNA (1743 nucleotides) under Salmonella enterica. Its description in RNAcentral is "partial 23S ribosomal RNA". It matches the Rfam family "Bacterial large subunit ribosomal RNA", at positions 1217 to 2925 of the family's 2925-position model. Lineage: Bacteria; Pseudomonadati; Pseudomonadota; Gammaproteobacteria; Enterobacterales; Enterobacteriaceae. The record is from RNAcentral.